RNAcentral lists this transfer RNA (71 nucleotides) under Pachycondyla annamita. RNAcentral's name for it is "tRNA-Asn". The record is from RNAcentral. Lineage: Eukaryota; Metazoa; Arthropoda; Insecta; Hymenoptera; Formicidae.
UAAUAGAAACCAAAUUAGAGGUAAAUUAUUGUUAAUAAUUAUAUUGAAUAUAAUAUUAAUAUUCCUGUUAG